CAAUACUUAGUGGCGAACGGGUGAGUAACACGUAGGUAAUCUACCAUAUAGACUGGGAUAACUUGAGGAAACUUAAGCUAAUACCGGAUAGAUAAGACAUAAGCAUUUAUGAUUUAAGAAAGUUACUGCAAGGUAACACUAUAUGAUGAGCCUGCGGCGCAUUAGCUAGUUGGAGGGGUAAAGGCCUAACAAGGCAAUGAUGCGUAGCCGACCUGAGAGGGUGACCGGCCACACUGGAACUGAGACACGGUCCAGACUCCUACGGGAGGCAGCAGUAGGGAAUUUUCCACACUGGGCGAAAGUCUGAUGGAGCAACGCCGCGUGAGUGAAGAAGGCCCUAUGGGUCGUAAAGCUCUGUUGUUAGGGAAGAAUGAAGAUUAUAGGAAAUGAUAGUUUGAGAGACGGUACCUAACGAGGAAGUCACGGCUAACUACGAGCCAGCAGCCGCGGUAAUACGUAGGUGGCAAGCGUUAUCCGGAAUUAUUGGGCGUAAAGGGUGAGUAGGCGGUUGUUUAAGUCUGAAGUUAAAGGCAGCGGCUCAACCAUUGUAUGCUUUGGAAACUGAACAACUAGAGUAUGAUAGAGGUCGGUGGAAUUCCACAUGUAGCGGUGAAAUGCGUAGAUAUGUGGAGGAACACCAGUGGCGAAGGCGGCCGACUGGAUCAAAACUGACGCUGAGGCACGAAAGCGUGGGGAGCAAAUAGGAUUAGAUACCCUAGUAGUCCACGCCGUAAACAAUGAAUACUAAGUGUUGGUGAAAAUCAGUGCUGAAGCAAACGCAUUAAGUAUUCCGCCUGGGGAGUACGCUCGC
This 811-nucleotide ribosomal RNA is filed under the name uncultured Bacillota bacterium. Its description in RNAcentral is "bacterial SSU rRNA". It matches the Rfam family "Bacterial small subunit ribosomal RNA", at positions 86 to 889 of the family's 1533-position model. Lineage: Bacteria; Bacillati; Bacillota. The record is from RNAcentral.